Molecule: ribosomal RNA, 253 nt
Filed under: uncultured bacterium
Lineage: Bacteria
Description: partial 16S ribosomal RNA
Rfam family: Bacterial small subunit ribosomal RNA
Source: RNAcentral
UACGUAGGGCGCAAGCGUUGUCCGGAAUUAUUGGGCGUAAAGAGCUCGUAGGCGGCUUGUCACGUCGAUUGUGAAAGCCCGGGGCUUAACCCCGGGUCUGCAGUCGAUACGGGCAGGCUAGAGUGUGGUAGGGGAGAUCGGAAUUCCUGGUGUAGCGGUGAAAUGCGCAGAUAUCAGGAGGAACACCGGUGGCGAAGGCGGCGACCUGGGUAGAUACUGACGCUGAGGCGCGAAAGCGUGGGGAGCAAACAGG